CGAGGACGAACGCUGGCGGCGUGCCUAACACGUGCAAGUCGAGCGAGGAGAUCCUCGGGAUGAUCCUAGCGGCGGACGGGUGAGUAACACGUGGGCAACCUGCCUCAUAGAGAGGAAUAGCCUUCCGAAAGGGAGAUUAAUACCUCAUAACAUUGCAGUUUCGCAUGGAACAGCAAUUAAAGGAGCAAUCCGCUAUGAGAUGGGCCCGCGGCGCAUUAGCUAGUUGGUGAGGUAACGGCUCACCAAGGCGACGAUGCGUAGCCGACCUGAGAGGGUGAUCGGCCACAUUGGGACUGAGACACGGCCCAGACUCCUACGGGAGGCAGCAGUGGGGAAUAUUGCACAAUGGGGGAAACCCUGAUGCAAGCAACGCCGCGUGAGUGAUGACGGCCUUCGGGUUGUAAAGCUCUGUCUUCAGGGACGAUAAUGACGGUACCUGAGGAGGAAGCCACGGCUAACUACGUGCCAGCCGCUGC
This 476-nucleotide ribosomal RNA is filed under the name uncultured bacterium. RNAcentral's name for it is "bacterial SSU rRNA". It matches the Rfam family "Bacterial small subunit ribosomal RNA", at positions 26 to 518 of the family's 1533-position model. The record is from RNAcentral.